GACGAACGCUGGCGGCGUGCUUAACACAUGCAAGUCGAACGGAAAGGCCCUGCUUUUGUGGGGUGCUCGAGUGGCGAACGGGUGAGUAACACGUGAGUAACCUGCCCUUGACUUUGGGAUAACUUCAGGAAACUGGGGCUAAUACCGGAUAGGAGCUCCUGCUGCAAGGUGGGGGUUGGAAAGUUUCGGCGGGUGGGGAUGGACUCGCGGCUUAUCAGCUUGUUGGUGGGGUAGUGGCUUACCAAGGCUUUGACGGGUAGCCGGCCUGAGAGGGUGACCGGCCCCAUUGGGACUGAGAUACGGCCCAGACUCCUUCGGGAGGCAGCAGUGGGGAAUAUUGCACAAUGGGCGGAAGCCUGAUGCAGCAACGCCGCGUGCGGGAUGACGGCCUUCGGGUUGUAAACCGCUUUCGCCUGUGACGAAGCGUGAGUGACGGUAAUGUGUAAAGAAGCACCGGCUAACUACGUG
Molecule: ribosomal RNA, 468 nt
Filed under: uncultured bacterium
Lineage: Bacteria
Description: partial 16S ribosomal RNA
Rfam family: Bacterial small subunit ribosomal RNA
Source: RNAcentral